RNAcentral lists this ribosomal RNA (245 nucleotides) under uncultured bacterium. Its description in RNAcentral is "partial 16S ribosomal RNA". It matches the Rfam family "Bacterial small subunit ribosomal RNA", at positions 88 to 334 of the family's 1533-position model. The record is from RNAcentral.
AUGGCGACCGGCGCACGGGUGAGUAACACGUAUCCAACCUGCCCUUUACUCGGGGAUAGCCUUUCGAAAGAAAGAUUAAUACCCGAUAGCAUAAUGAUUCCGCAUGGUUUCAUUAUUAAAGGAUUCCGGUAAAGGAUGGGGAUGCGUUCCAUUAGGUUGUUGGUGAGGUAACGGCUCACCAAGCCUUCGAUGGAUAGGGGUUCUGAGAGGAAGGUCCCCCACAUUGGAACUGAGACACGGUCCAG